AUACGUAGGGGGCGAGCGUUGUCCGGAAUGAUUGGGCGUAAAGGGCGCGUAGGCGGCGCGGUAAGUCUGGAGUGAAAGUCCUGCUUUCAAGGUGGGAAUUGCUUUGGAUACUGCCGCGCUUGAGUGCAGGAGAGGUUAUCGGAAUUCCCGGUGUAGCGGUGAAAUGCGUAGAGAACGGGAGGAACACCAGUGGCGAAGGCGGGUAACUGGACUGCAACUGACGCUGAGGCGCGAAAGUGUGGGGAGCAAACAGGAUUAGAUACCCUGGUAGUCCACACUGUAAACGAUGAAUGCUAGGUGUAAGAGGUAUCGACCCCUUUUGUGCCGGAGUCAACACAAUAAGCAUUCCGCCUGGGGAGUACGGCCGCAAGGUUGAAACUCAAAGGAAUUGACGGGG
Molecule: ribosomal RNA, 397 nt
Filed under: uncultured bacterium
Lineage: Bacteria
Description: partial 16S ribosomal RNA
Rfam family: Bacterial small subunit ribosomal RNA
Source: RNAcentral